GGGGAUGCUAAGGGAGAUAAAGCCAAGGUGAAGGACGAACCACAGAGAAGAUCCGCGAGGUUGUCUGCUAAACCUGCUCCUCCAAAGCCAGAGCCCAAGACUAAAAAGGCCCCUGCAAAGAAGGGAGAGAAGGUACCCAAAGGGAAAAAGGGAAAAGCUGAUGCUGGCAAGGAGGGGAAUAACCCUGCAGAAAAUGGAGAUGCCAAAACAGACCAGGCACAGAAAGCUGAAGGUGCUGGAGAUGCCAAGUGAAGUGUGUGCAUUUUUGAUAACUGUGUACUUCUGGUGACUGUACAGUUUGGAAUACUAUUUUUUAUCAAGUUUUAUAAAAAUGUGGAAUUUUGUUUUACUUUUUUUUUUUUUUAAAGCUAUGUUGUUAGCACACAGAACACUUCAUUGUUGUUUUUGGGGGAAGGGGCAUAUACAAAUUUGUUUUUAUGUCCUCUUCUCCCUUUCCAUCUUUCAGCAUAGACUUAACUCCCUUAAGCCCAGACAUCUGUUGGGACCUGACCCCUAGUCAUUGGUUACCAGUGUGUCAGGCAAUCUGGACUUUCCAGUGAUGCCACUGAGAUGGCACCUGUCAAAAGAGCAGUGGUUCCAUUUCUAGAUUGUGGAUCUUCAGAUAAAUUCUGCCAUUUUCAUUUCACUUCCUGAAAGUCAGAGAUGGCUUGUGAAAAGUUGUUAAACACCAUGCUAAAUGUGAAAUGUCAACCCUCACUCUAAACUUUCCCUGUUCAGAGCAUCAGAUGAAGACUUCAUUGGGUUUUAUAGUGGCUUUCUGAUUUUUGGUAGUCCAUUGAAGAAGGGAGUUUGAAAGUUGUUGUAUACUGUUAACGAUUGUCUGCCCAUGUCCUGCCUGAAAUACCAUGAUUGUUUAUGGAAAGUAUCUUUAAUAAAGCUGGAUACAGUUUGGCUUGGAAAAAAAAAAAAAA
This 932-nucleotide long non-coding RNA is filed under the name Homo sapiens (human). RNAcentral's name for it is "HSALNT0385081". Lineage: Eukaryota; Metazoa; Chordata; Mammalia; Primates; Hominidae. The record is from RNAcentral.